This is a long non-coding RNA of Elaeis guineensis (African oil palm), 638 nucleotides long. RefSeq lists it as uncharacterized. The record is from RefSeq and is a predicted model, not a curated record. Lineage: Eukaryota; Viridiplantae; Streptophyta; Magnoliopsida; Arecales; Arecaceae.
UCUUCUUACCACCCAGUGGGCGUAGAUGGUAGACUUUGGACGGCCAUUUUGUCCAGACUCCACACACAAUAUUUUGCCAUCAAAUCUGAGCCCGUUCACUUGGGGAACCUACGGUGACCUCAGCGUCCAUUCUAUGGGCCAUUCAAGACCACAACUAAUGGCCAUGGGACGAUAGCUACCUCUAAAGAGUUGAUAAAAAGAAGAAGAAUAGAUAAGAAAACAGAAGAAACGGAGAGUUGGAGGAGACAGAUGGAUCAGUUAACGGCGAUAGGGACGGAGCGAUGGUUGGGGAAGCUGGGGAGGCAUGUUUAUGCGUUUCUUUGCUUAGGGGUCGUACUCAUCGCUGCAACCUUCGUCCAUUACGCUUUUCCUGAGCAGCCGACGGGUGACGCGAGGGAGAGGUCCAGGAGAAGGCUGGUAGCCGUGCAGGCCGCUGAUUUCUGAUCCUUUUCUUUCUUUCCAUUUUGUCAAGUGUUGUAACAAUCUUCUAUCUAUAAGCAAAUACUGGUAGAGAGAGAGAGCUGCUAGAUCCCGAUCUCCUAGUUCUUACUUCUAUCGAGCUGUAACGAUACCUAACUUAACAAAUCUAGUCCCCUUGAGAAACUAUAAGAGGUUCCGCCCCAAGUAUUUGUUAAGAA